This is a long non-coding RNA of Bos taurus (domestic cattle), 1071 nucleotides long. Lineage: Eukaryota; Metazoa; Chordata; Mammalia; Artiodactyla; Bovidae. The record is from Ensembl.
AGAAGAUCCCACAUGCCGAGGAGUAACUAAGCUUGUGCACCACGACUGUUAAGCCUGUUCUCCACAACCCGGGAGCUGCAGCGACUGAGCCUGUGUGCUACGUCUACUGAAGCCCGAGUACCCGAGAGCCCGUGUCCGAAACAAGAGAAGCCACCGCCAUGAGGAGCCCUUAUUUUGAAACUAGAGAGUAGUCCCUGCUUUCUGCAACUAGAGAAGACUUGUGCAGCAACAAAGACCCACACAGCCAAAAGGACUUGAGGCUGGAGGUGGAGUAACCACUUUGAGGCCUUGAAGAAAUGUUCCCCAGUAAAGAGAAGGAAGCAGAAGAACAUUCUAUCUGAGAGGCUGGGCAUCUUCCACUGGCUUCAGAGGCUGAAUCUGGGACCAAUAAAUGGAAACUUCAAUAAAGAAGGUUCUCUGUGAGCCCGAACUGCAGUUUCUUCGGCUUCAGGAUGCCCAAGUGCAGGGUCAAGUUCAAGGGUCUAGUGCUCAGUAAGCACCGUUACUGACUGUGGGGUAGCGCCUUGGGCCGCACGGGUGCCCACAAUCUCUGGGCAAACCUGUCAGAGUUGAGACUCCAAGGCUGUGUGUGGUUUGGUUUCUGGAAUGGACUGGAACAUUCCAUGUCUGCGAGUGGCCCUUCUUCCUGCAGCAAUCUUGCGUCAUUCUCCCCCCUGAGAGGGAAGUGAUUACACAGCAUACCUGUGGCUGAUGCUGGGCUGUUAAGAGCCCCGUAAAACUAAGGUAAAACUAAGGCAUAACUUGCCUGUUAGGCCACGCGCCUGAAUGACUCUUUGCAAACAUUUGCUGCGGGCUGAUUAAGAGAAAUAUCCUUACUGUUUUGAAUCAAAUUCCUGUUAAAAGCAGAGGCUCAAGUUUCUUUCCCUUGGUUUCUCCCUGCCCCUGGCCCCUGGUCGCUUGUUAAACACUCCUCCCCACUCCCCUCCCCCACACAGCCUGCCUGGGGGCCACAUCCUUUUUUACAGGACUUCAGGACUUCAGUGGCUCCUAAGGGCUUACAUUCUCUCUCUUGCUUGCUGUAGGCUGCUGGGGGAGGGGGUCUGGGAGGGA